Molecule: ribosomal RNA, 484 nt
Filed under: uncultured bacterium
Lineage: Bacteria
Description: partial 16S ribosomal RNA
Rfam family: Bacterial small subunit ribosomal RNA
Source: RNAcentral
AUUGAACGCUGGCGGCAGGCCUAACACAUGCAAGUCGAGCGGGUGAAGGGAGCUUGCUCCUGGAUUCAUCGGCGGACGGGUGGGUAAUGCCUAGGAAUCUGCCUGGUCGUGGGGGAUAACGUCCGGAAACGGGCGCUAAUACCGCAUACGUCCUGAGGGAGAAAUUGGGGGAUCUUCGGACCUCACGCUUUCAUAUGAGCCUAGGUCGGAUUAGCUAGUUGGUGGGGUAAAGGCCUACCAAGGCGACGAUCCGUAACUGGUCUGAGAGGAUGAUCAGUCACACUGGAACUGAGACACGGUCCAGACUCCUACGGGAGGAAGCAGUGGGGAAUAUUGGACGAUGGGCGAAAGCCUGAUACAGCCAUGCCGCGUGUGUGAAGAAGGUCUUCGGAUUGUAAAGCACUUUAAGUUGGGAGGAAGGGCAGUAAGUUAAUACCUUGCUGUUUUGACGUUACCAACAGAAUAAGCACCGGCUAACUUCGUG